Molecule: transfer RNA, 66 nt
Filed under: Paralimna concors
Lineage: Eukaryota; Metazoa; Arthropoda; Insecta; Diptera; Ephydridae
Description: tRNA-Ala
Rfam family: tRNA
About the family: Transfer RNA (tRNA) molecules are approximately 80 nucleotides in length.
Source: RNAcentral
AGGGUUAUAGUUAAAUUAUAACAUUUGAUUUGCAUUCAAAAGAUAUUGAAUAUUCAAUUUACCUUG